RNAcentral lists this long non-coding RNA (2695 nucleotides) under Homo sapiens (human). RNAcentral describes it as "long non-coding RNA NONHSAT163702.1". The record is from RNAcentral. Lineage: Eukaryota; Metazoa; Chordata; Mammalia; Primates; Hominidae.
CACAUUUUUGCAUGGUUCUUGAUUGACUUUCUGGUGCUCUGCCUGGAGGUCUUUGCUUAUCUGUGAGUUGCCUGAGUCACAUUUUUACAUGGUUCUGGUGCUCUGCCUGCAGGUCAAGAAGGAGCCAGUAUCUCCAGGAGGAGUGAGAGAGUGCUCUGCCAGUGUGAAGUGUGAAUCCUUGAGAGGCUGUGGCAAGGGUCCAUGCCUGAAUGUGUAGAACAAGAACAGCUGGAGGCUGUGGCUUUCUCCAGGAAGAGGUUUCUAAAUCUGCCUCUUAGAAGAUAUCAGAAAGUUAAACUAUUCCGUGAUAUUGAAUAAGUCUCACAAGAUCUGGUGGGUUUAUCAGGGGUUUCUGCUUUUGCUUCUUCCUCAGUUUCUCUUGCUGCCGCCGUGUAAGAAGGACCUUUUGCCUCCCACCAUGAUUCUAAGUCCUCCCCAGCCACGUGGAACUGUAAGUCCAAUUAUACCUCUUUUUCUUCCCAGUCUUGGGUAUGUCUUUAUCAGCAGUGUGAAAACAGACUAACAUAAUUUUGCAUUCUGCAACUUUACUGAAUUCAUUUAUCAGCUCUAAAAGUUUCCGGUAGAGUCUUUAGGUUAUUCUAUACAUACGAUCAUAUCUACAAACAGGCUUUCAUUUGGUCUCUUUUCGAAUCAGAAGACCCAGAAAACUUGGAUCCACUUCUGGCUCUCAUCCCUCUGGGCAGUGUGAUUUGGUCCUGCCUUUCCAAUACCUAUUCAGGAGCAAAAACCAUGAUAAACUCCCUUUGCAUCUUUUGUAAGAGAGCUAGACAAACGCCGGAGAGUUUCUCUGCAGUUGUGUGACCUUGGGUAGUUUCUUCAACUACAGAAAGAGAGUUGAGCAGAUGCUCCGGCUGCCACUCCAUCAUAUAUUGGAAACAGCAUUACUUUAUAGUAAAUCAUGACCACGGUGUAUGGCAAUGAAGUUGCAUCUGAAGCAGCCGGCACCCUAUGUGCUAGCUGGCUUUUAGACCAGGAGACUGUGAAUCUGUGGUCAGGAUCUCUUUAGGGCUGCUAAAUAUAUACUACCCACUAUCACUCGCUGGAGCUGCAGACCCUAGUUUUAGAGUUUCACUUCUUAAAGACCUUCAUCCUUAUUAAAAUGGUAAUAUCCUUACUGUCGGAAUUGGGAAGAAGGAUAAAUACAUACAUGGAGGAGCAAUAGAAGUCUACCUUAUGGAGCAUGUGGAGCAGGUAAAGCAGCUACGGCUUAGAAAGGCUGAGGAACUUGCCUGAGGCUAUCCAGCUACUGAGAGAUAAACUGGGGUGUGAAUUCAGAGAGCUUGACUCCUGAGGCUCCACCUGUGCCUAUAAUUCCAGCAUGACACCUGGUAAUGGGCACUCAGUAUAUGCUUGUUGAUCUAAACUCAGUGUGUGUGUGUGUGUCUGUGUGUGUCUGUGUGUGUGUGUGUGUGUGUGUGUGUGUGUGUGGUCUUCCUCUCACAUCCAAAGCUACUAGCACUGAGGAAGUUGGGCGCUUUGAGCUGACAUGUUAGAAGUCAGUCUACAUUGAAGCUGCCAUGCUGAAGAACUCAUGUGGGAGAACACACAGAAAUCGAGAUGCCUGAGGAGCCCCAGCUGUACCAGCCUCUAGCUCUCUGAGUCUUCUCAGCAAGAACUGUCAAACAUGAGAGUGAAGCAGCCUUCAGAUGACUCUGGCCCCAGUCUUCAAGUGCCCUAGCUGGUGCCAAGUGGAGCAGACAAGCUGCCACCCACCAAGCCCUUCCCAAAUUGCAGACUAGGAACAAAAUAAAUGUUAUUUUAAGCCACUAAAGCUGCCGCUAAUGGAGUUGGACUCAUGAGUGAGGGAGAAAGUGCCUGUGAAUGACAUCAUUAUGCGACAUCAUAGGACAGUUUUUUUUUUCUUUUAUUCACUCGUCUUUCUUUUAUUUCAACUGAUGAUAUCAGGUGGCUUCUUCAAAUGAUUUUUAAGUAUCUCGAUGAUGAUGAAGAACAAAGACAUCAAUCAGGAUUCAGGAAGACAGCUUUUGCGGAAAAUGCUUAAAGGGAAGCAUCAAGGAUUGGUGUUGAUAUUUGAAAGUUUAAGAGUGGUAUACUUUUAUUCAGUCAACACAUGACAAAUGUAAAAGGCACUCAUUUGUUGUUCCUGGAAGAAGCCUGGCAGCAUUCCAUUCAGACAUCUGCCCUUUCAUCGUCCCACUUUUUACUUAUUGCAGUCCUUUCAGUCUGAAUAUUUCCUCCUGACGCAUCUUCUGCCGUCCGAAAUGACUCCCUGCUCCCAGAUCCUGUAGCCCUUAUUAUUGACACCUUUCAUUUAGAAAUUUAGCACAUGUCACAUUACACCAUUAUUGAAUAAAUAAUGAAUAAAUAAAUAAAUAAAGAUGUAUGUCCUUCCCAAGUAUAUCAGAGAACUAUCUGGACAAUUUCUUUCUUUCCCAAUUCUCAGAAUCAGCAGUAUUCUGUCAAGAAACAUUUAUCGACGAUGAUGGCAAUAGUCGAUUAAAAUCAGAUGAAGUUUUAUUUUUAAAAAAAGGUUGAGCGGAGAGACAAGGCUGAAGGUUUGGAAGUUGAGACAACCAUCUUCAAUAAACGUUUUCUCAUCUAAGGGCUGUAUGUACAUCAUUUUGGGGAAGGUAGAGAUUGAAGGAGGAAGAACAUCACUGGAGGAAGAGACAGCAGUUUGUCUUUCGAGUUUCAAUAAAGUUUCAAAAAUCUU